UACGAAGGGGGCUAGCGUUGUUCGGAAUUACUGGGCGUAAAGCGUGCGCAGGCGGCUUCUCAAGUCAGGGGUGAAAGCCCAGAGCUCAACUCUGGAAUUGCCUUUGAGACUGAGUGGCUUGAGUACGGGAGAGGUGAGUGGAAUUCCCGGUGUAGCAGUGAAAUGCGUAGAGAUCGGGAGGAACAUCAGUUGCGAAGGCGGCUCUCUGGACCAGCACUGACACUGAGGCACGAAAGCGUGGGGAGCAAACAGG
Molecule: ribosomal RNA, 253 nt
Filed under: uncultured bacterium
Lineage: Bacteria
Description: partial 16S ribosomal RNA
Rfam family: Bacterial small subunit ribosomal RNA
Source: RNAcentral